GCUAGUAAUCGCGGAUCAGCAUGCCGCGGUGAAUACGUUCUCGGGCCUUGUACACACCGCCCGUCACACCAUGGGAGUCGGUAACACCCGAAGUCUGUAGCCUGACGCAAGAGGGCGCAGCCGAAGGUGGGAUUGAUGACUGGGGUGAAGUCGUAACAAGGUAGC
RNAcentral lists this ribosomal RNA (165 nucleotides) under uncultured bacterium. Its description in RNAcentral is "partial 16S ribosomal RNA". It matches the Rfam family "Bacterial small subunit ribosomal RNA", at positions 1334 to 1500 of the family's 1533-position model. The record is from RNAcentral.